Non-coding RNA from Oryza sativa Japonica Group (Japanese rice), 1860 nucleotides. Lineage: Eukaryota; Viridiplantae; Streptophyta; Magnoliopsida; Poales; Poaceae. The record is from RefSeq and is a predicted model, not a curated record.
AAAAUUGUCUCGUGAAUUAGCUUUCAUUUAUGUAAUUAAUUUUAUAAGUAGUCUAUAUUUAAUACUAUAAAUUAGUGUCUAAAUAUAGGGACUAAAGUUAAGUUCCUGGAUCCAAACACCACCUAAAAGCUCUAUCUUUAGUGGCAGGUGAUACUAAAAUUUCACCUUAUUACUCAGUGGUAGUACAACUGAACCAAAAAAAAAAUCAAUAAUUCUGUGCUUAAUCAGGGGACAGGCAGAGAAGGAUUUCAGGGUGGAGGCCGUGACGAUCGGCUGUGUUCAGCACAAGAAUCUGGUCAGCCUACUGGGUAUUGCAGCGAGGGAGCUUUGUAGGAAGCUGGUGAAAUUGAGUUGACCAAUUUGGACUGAAGAAGUGAUCUCAGAUAGGGGGGUUGCUGCCUGGAAGAGUAGGAAAACAAUGCAGAGAGAGAUGGUUCAACCCUUUGAGGCCAAACAUCAAGGGAACGACUCCUUGCAGCCUCUGUGCUGCAUCGGCCACCAUCACCGGCGAGCCUGUGGCCCUUCUCUUUGUGCCAUCGGUGCCACGAGAACAUGAAGAGGCCAUUCGCAGUCACCGCAAGAAGAAUUAGUGUCACAACAACAAGAAGCAUGAGCGCCUUCAUCAAUGGGGGACAGUGAGAUCCAUUGCAAUGGCCAUGGCCAUGAGAGGAUCCUGAUGUCAUCUGCCACGAUAUGUCAGCACUGAAUGGCUGGGGGCCUGUCGGGGUUGAUGAGGUCGGCCGGACUGCACAGCCUGAGAGCAGGCAGAACAUAUUCAGAUGAGUGUUGUUUGCACCUUGCAAUCCACCCUGCAGUUUCGCUAAUUCUUGGGGAAAAUGAUGUUUUGAUUUCUGUAGCAACAGCUUUAAUUUGUUGAACGAAUGGAUCCCAUGUAUUUUUUUUCUGGGCUUUGAACAACAAAAGCACAAAAAGGGACAGAAGCCCAUGUUCGACCCAACAAACCUUUUGGCAGGGGUGCUUGAUGCACGCACAGCACGCGGGGAGGAGGUGGGAGAUGAUGACACGUGUCAUAUCCUAUGGUCAAAAGUCCAGCUGAUAUCUCAAAAAAUUUCAGCAGGAUGGUACUAGACAGUCCCUAAGUGGUACUUAAUUCGUUUCACUUCAGUAAAGCCGCGUAUAAUAUGCAGAGUCCAGAGUAUAAUCUGCAUCAGUAGACCUACUGAUAUAUGAUGGCUCAGUAGCAUCCUGUAGAGUUUAUAAUGUGGCAAAUGUCUGACGACAUAAUAUAACUCCUCAAAAUAACGUUAAAUUAAUUUGGGACCUGCUUUUGCAUUUGCUUCCUCAAAUCAAAUUGUUUCCUCGAGUUCAACAUAGAGAUUCUGCAGAACAGUUAUUACAGUCCAAUGCAUUUUUUUUCCAGGUGGUUUCCAAGACAAAUUGGUGUUCCAUCGGACGAGUAAUGCAGCCACCAUCUGUCGUUAUAUCUUGACAGAGCCGAGAAGGAAAAUCCUCCAGAGAUUGGCCACCAUUUGCAUGCAACCGGAUGGCGAGCAAGGCGACAGAGAUGGGAAUUUUUUUCGUUUUUAGAUUUUUUUUAAUAUUUACAGAAAUAAUCUAUCGGCGAGAAAAAUUGCAAAAAUAGACCCUGCCGCCCCAAUGGUGGGCGGCAAGCUGACGUGGCAAACGGGGGAGGAACGGACGGUGACGGAGGGUGGUUUUUUUUGCAUGAAAACCCUUGCCGCCCUUUGGUGGGGCGGCAAGGGGUCCGAAUGCAAAAGAGCCGCAGGGGCCGGCCAUUUUGCAGGCGGCCCCUUGCCGCCCUCUGGCCGGGCGGCAGGCCUUGCUGCCUAUAAAAGGUCUGCCGCCCAGCCCCCAGCCCUCAUUCCUCACCCCUCUCAA